GAUGAACGCUGGCGGCGUGCCUAAUACAUGCAAGUCGAGCGAAGCGGGGUCGGGUGAGUAACACGUGGAUAACCUCCUAUAAGACUGGAAUAACUUCGGGACUCCGAAGCUUAACCGUACACUUCUAGAUGGAUCCGCGCUGCAGUAGGUAGUUGGUAAGGUAACGGCUUACCAAGGCAACGAAUCCUAGCUGACCUGAGAGGGUGAUCGGCCACACUGGAACUGAGACACGGUCCAGACUCCUACGGGAGGCAGCAGUAGGGAAUCUUCCGCAAUGGGCGAAAGCCUGACGGAGCAACGCCGCGUGAGUGAUGAAGGUCUUCGGAUCGUAAAACUCUGUUAUUAGGGAAGCGUUACCUAAAGAGAAAGCCCCGGCUAACUACGUGCCAGCAGCCGCGGUAAUAC
RNAcentral lists this ribosomal RNA (405 nucleotides) under uncultured bacterium. RNAcentral describes it as "partial 16S ribosomal RNA". It matches the Rfam family "Bacterial small subunit ribosomal RNA", at positions 28 to 526 of the family's 1533-position model. The record is from RNAcentral.